RNAcentral lists this long non-coding RNA (2299 nucleotides) under Eutrema salsugineum. RNAcentral describes it as "long non-coding RNA (ESAL_LNC000687)". The record is from RNAcentral. Lineage: Eukaryota; Viridiplantae; Streptophyta; Magnoliopsida; Brassicales; Brassicaceae.
UUGGAACUUACCAAAAGCACUCAAAAGCAUGAGCACCAUCGGCUAGGAGUCUUUAGAUUCCCCUUUUAGCACAAUCUCUAGGAAUUACGAUUUGAUACACCUCUUACUUGGCCUCGACCACCAUAUCCAUAGUCGCCGCCGCCGCCACCACCACGAGGUCCACUAUAACCGCCACAUGAAUGAACGUUACCGCAGAAAGCUUCUCUCAUUUGCCAAAACUCUAGCAUUUUCAUCACCCGUAUUCAUCUCAAUAAAGUUCGUCCAUGCAAAAUUCUUACGUCCAUUUAAUUAUGCUUACAUGGACAUGCUUCUUUUAAUGGAUUCUUAUAAACAAAUUUCCAAUUUCAACAAAGCUAUUUACAAUGGGCGUGAAAUCUUGCAACCUGCGAGAGUGAAAGAGGAGAUCAGAGCAAUAAUUAAGGAAAUACAAUCUCACAACAUCCAUUUAGAAGAAUUUCUCUCCAGAUUCAUACAAUAAACAUACAUAUAGCUCAAUUUCUCUCCAGAUUCAUCAAUUCCACUGCAGAUUUUAGAGAUUUAAAGUGAACUGAUCCAAAUAUUUCCAGAUUCAAAGGAAGAAAAAGAGAGAUUGAAGAAUCUAGAUGACAACCCCAGAAAUCCAGAUUUGAGGAAUCCAGAUGACAAUGUCGGAACCAGAAAAAGAGCGCUCGAGGAAUUCUUUGGAAACCAAGAAUCCUAGGGAAAUAAAACAACAUUCUCGCUCAAUGACAAAAGAGAGAUUACUGUUUUUGAACCCUUAAACUAAUGCCAAAAUGAUCUCCUCUUCUUCUCUUUAGCUGCUUAUAGAGACCGGGCGCUUGGUAAUGAGUUUCACUGCAUUGGUAAUGAGUUUCAAAUAUUAUUUUUAACAUUACAAGUAGAGAGAUCUAGGAUAUAAAUGAUUUACUAUCCAUCGGGAUUGUACUAUAUGGUUACGAAACAGCAUCAAAUGAUUUAGCGUCCACGCAAACAUGAACAUGUGGAUAUCCCAUCCUCUUAUAAACACUUUUGCAGUUUUUCGGUGUAUCAUUUCAAUAGUUUAAAAUGAUUUAAUGUCCAUAGGGAUUGUACUAUGUGGUUAUGAAUCAGUUCCAAAUGAUUUUGUAUCUUUGUAAUUUAGCUUUUCGUGUGACUCAGCUAAUCAAUCCUUCUUUCGUGCGUUGUAUCAAAACUUCAAGCAGCUUAGGAUCCAAAAACUUCAAGCAGCUUAGGAUAGACACUUGGUUUACAGUGUUGCAACAAAGCUCUGCCUAGGUUCUACUCUACCUGUCACCUAGAUUACAUAGCAAAACAUAACCAGCCAUAUCAAAGGUUAAUACUUUCAACUAAAAAACUACAGUUCGAAGAUAAUCCAGUAGAUACCAUAAGAGAGAUUCAGGUGAGAUGAUUUGCAACUGAUUUAUGUAUAUACCAUAAGAGAGAUGCAGAGUCAACACAAACAAGCUACACAAAGUAGUAACAAUAAAGAGUUAUAAGCGUUUAAGUAUAGCAAACAAACAAAACAGGAGAUAGCAAUACUGUAGGACAACUAGUUAGCAACUAAAAGGAGUAAAAACUUUUAAAGAUCAAGACCUUGAUAUCCUCACAAAGUCACAAACAUUCACAAAUUCGAAAUCCAAAUUUUGAGGUUUCAAGGGAAGAGAUAACUCGCGUAAUUGUAGACUUAGAAAUCAUCAAUGAAAAACGUGACACUUCCCAAAUCAAAGGUCAAAGCUUCAUCUAACCGAUGAACAAUCGCCUCAAAUUCCAAAAUCCAUCUCAAAUACAUAAAAAUAAGGUGAAGAUCAACAGGGUAUCGUCUUCCUUUUUUUUGUUUUAUUAUAGCCACAGUUUUACUUGCGUUGAAUAAUUCCGUUUAUCUAAAAGACAAGAAAUCAAACGACAACAUCAAUUACAUAUCCACUGCAUAUGCCAUGGAAUCAUCGAUUACAUAUCCUUCGGUUUGUUGCAUUUUUCCCAAUCGAACUUCAAGCAAAAACAAAAUCGAAACAAUCAAAUGUUGUAUGGGAAAGGAAUAAGAUCUGGAAAAACAAUGAAGCAAGAGAAUUACUUUUUAGGGUUGAGAAACAUAAUAGCUGGUUGACUUUUUAGCUGUGGCACAGAAGAAAUUGAAGAGACAACCCAUGGCUUCGAUGAAAUCGGAAGAGAGAAAAAGGAACAGCAAUGGAAGAAGCUACUGAGAUUUUCCGAGAAAGAUAGGAAAAGUCGAGAGUGAAAGAAUUGGUGGGUAUGAGUCAAUUGUUUUCAAAUUUGAAAUUAUCUGAUGGAAAUCACGGUAAUGAGAUAAGUCCAGAAAUGG